This 1019-nucleotide ribosomal RNA is filed under the name Acinetobacter sp. 555B1_12EESBL. RNAcentral describes it as "bacterial SSU rRNA". It matches the Rfam family "Bacterial small subunit ribosomal RNA", at positions 56 to 1069 of the family's 1533-position model. Lineage: Bacteria; Pseudomonadati; Pseudomonadota; Gammaproteobacteria; Moraxellales; Moraxellaceae. The record is from RNAcentral.
UGCAAGUCGAGCGGGGGAAGGUAGCUUGCUACUGGACCUAGCGGCGGACGGGUGAGUAAUACUUAGGAAUCUGCCUAUUAGUGGGGGACAACGUUUCGAAAGGGACGCUAAUACCGCAUACGCCCUACGGGGGAAAGCAGGGGAUCUUCGGACCUUGCGCUAAUAGAUGAGCCUAAGUCGGAUUAGCUAGUUGGUGGGGUAAAGGCCUACCAAGGCGACGAUCUGUAGCGGGUCUGAGAGGAUGAUCCGCCACACUGGGACUGAGACACGGCCCAGACUCCUACGGGAGGCAGCAGUGGGGAAUAUUGGACAAUGGGGGGAACCCUGAUCCAGCCAUGCCGCGUGUGUGAAGAAGGCCUUAUGGUUGUAAAGCACUUUAAGCGAGGAGGAGGCUACUUUGGUUAAUACCUAAAGAUAGUGGACGUUACUCGCAGAAUAAGCACCGGCUAACUCUGUGCCAGCAGCCGCGGUAAUACAGAGGGUGCGAGCGUUAAUCGGAUUUACUGGGCGUAAAGCGUACGUAGGCGGCUUUUUAAGUCGGAUGUGAAAUCCCUGAGCUUAACUUAGGAAUUGCAUUCGAUACUGGGAAGCUAGAGUAUGGGAGAGGAUGGUAGAAUUCCAGGUGUAGCGGUGAAAUGCGUAGAGAUCUGGAGGAAUACCGAUGGCGAAGGCAGCCAUCUGGCCUAAUACUGACGCUGAGGUACGAAAGCAUGGGGAGCAAACAGGAUUAGAUACCCUGGUAGUCCAUGCCGUAAACGAUGUCUACUAGCCGUUGGGGCCUUUGAGGCUUUAGUGGCGCAGCUAACGCGAUAAGUAGACCGCCUGGGGAGUACGGUCGCAAGACUAAAACUCAAAUGAAUUGACGGGGGCCCGCACAAGCGGUGGAGCAUGUGGUUUAAUUCGAUGCAACGCGAAGAACCUUACCUGGUCUUGACAUAGUAAGAACUUUCCAGAGAUGGAUUGGUGCCUUCGGGAACUUACAUACAGGUGCUGCAUGGCUGUCGUCAGCUCGUGUCGUG